UUUGGCACUUAAGGAAUUGUCAC
This 23-nucleotide microRNA is filed under the name Schmidtea mediterranea. RNAcentral's name for it is "Sme-Mir-96-P1j_5p (mature (guide))". Lineage: Eukaryota; Metazoa; Platyhelminthes; Tricladida; Dugesiidae. The record is from RNAcentral.